This 547-nucleotide ribosomal RNA is filed under the name uncultured fungus. RNAcentral describes it as "eukaryotic LSU rRNA". The stretch from base 203 to 356 matches the Rfam family "5.8S ribosomal RNA". The record is from RNAcentral. Lineage: Eukaryota; Fungi.
AAGUCGUAACAAGGUCUCCGUAGGUGAACCUGCGGAGGGAUCAUUACAAGAACGCCCGGGCUUCGGCCUGGUUAUUCAUAACCCUUUGUUGUCCGACUCUGUUGCCUCCGGGGCGACCCUGCCUUCGGGCGGGGGGCUCCGGGUGGACACUUCAAACUCUUGCGUAACUUUGCAGUCUGAGUAAACUUAAUUAAUAAAUUAAAACUUUUAACAACGGAUCUCUUGGUUCUGGCAUCGAUGAAGAACGCAGCGAAAUGCGAUAAGUAAUGUGAAUUGCAGAAUUCAGUGAAUCAUCGAAUCUUUGAACGCACAUUGCGCCCCCUGGUAUUCCGGGGGGCAUGCCUGUUCGAGCGUCAUUUCACCACUCAAGCCUCGCUUGGUAUUGGGCAACGCGGUCCGCCGCGUGCCUCAAAUCGUCCGGCUGGGUCUUCUGUCCCCUAAGCGUUGUGGAAACUAUUCGCUAAAGGGUGUUCGGGAGGCUACGCCGUAAAACAACCCCAUUUCUAAGGUUGACCUCGGAUCAGGUAGGGAUACCCGCUGAACUUAA